RNAcentral lists this transfer-messenger RNA (347 nucleotides) under Clostridiales bacterium. It matches the Rfam family "transfer-messenger RNA". From Rfam's summary of the family: Bacterial tmRNA, also known as 10Sa RNA or SsrA, is named for its dual tRNA and mRNA-like properties. Its role is to liberate the mRNA from a stalled ribosome. Lineage: Bacteria; Bacillati; Bacillota; Clostridia; Eubacteriales. The record is from RNAcentral. RNAcentral also lists the same sequence under 2 other names.
GGGGGUGUUUUGGAUUCGACUUGUGAGUAUGGGGAAUGAUAAGCAUACCGAAGGCUCGUCUUCGUAAAAACGGAAACUUAAAAUCAAACGCUGACAACAGAAGUCUGCAAUUAGCAGCCGCGUAAGGUUGCCGUCCUCUCCGAAGUCCUACGCUCGGAAGCAGGGCGUCGUUAGUAGGGUACGAUACGCCUGAGUAGUCUUGUAAGGCAGUAUUGAAUUAAAGACUUAGGCGGAUAAAAGGUUUGACUGUUGACCUUUUUGACGCGACACUUAACAACAGUAUAAGUAUGUAGAAAGUCAUUCUUGAUAUCAUAAGGACCGGGGUUCAACUCCCCGCACCUCCACCA